UCGAGGAUCUUCGGCAAUGGGCGCAAGCCUGACCGAGCGACGCCGCGUGUGCGAUGAAGGCCUUCGGGUUGUAAAGCACUGUCGAGGGGGAGAAAGCCCGCAAGGGUUGAUCUAUCCCUGGAGGAAGCACGGGCUAAGUUCGUGCCAGCAGCCGCGGUAAGACGAACCGUGCGAACGUUGUUCGGAAUCACUGGGCUUAAAGGGCGCGUAGGCGGGCCUCAAAGUCAGGGGUGAAAUACUCCGGCUCAACCGGAGCACUGCUUCUGAUACUGGGGGCCUCGAGGGGUGCAGGGGCAUGUGGAACUUCCGGUGGAGCGGUGAAAUGCGUAGAUAUCGGAAGGAACGCCGGUGGCGAAAGCGACGUGCUGGACACCUUCUGACGCUGAGGCGCGAAAGCCAGGGGAGCAAACGGGAUUAGAUACCCCCGUAGUCC
RNAcentral lists this ribosomal RNA (433 nucleotides) under uncultured bacterium. Its description in RNAcentral is "bacterial SSU rRNA". It matches the Rfam family "Bacterial small subunit ribosomal RNA", at positions 355 to 796 of the family's 1533-position model. The record is from RNAcentral.